GACGAACGCUGGCGGCGUGCUUAACACAUGCAAGUCGAGCGGUAAGGCCCUUUCGGGGGUACACGAGCGGCGAACGGGUGAGUAACACGUGGGUGACCUGCCCUCAGCUCUGGGAUAAGCCUGGGAAACCGGGCCUAAUACUGGAUAUGACUCCAUGACGCAUGUUGUGGGGUGGAAAGCCUUGUGCGGCUGAGGAUGGGCCCGCGGCCUAUCAGCUUGUUGGUGGGGUGANGGCCUACCAAGGCGACGACGGGUAGCCGGCCUGAGAGGGCGACCGGCCACACUGGGACUGAGACACGGCCCAGACUCCUACGGGAGGCAGCAGUGGGGAAUCUUGCGCAAUGGGCGAAAGCCUGACGCAGCGACGCCGCGUGAGGGAUGACGGCCUGGU
This 391-nucleotide ribosomal RNA is filed under the name uncultured bacterium. RNAcentral describes it as "bacterial SSU rRNA". It matches the Rfam family "Bacterial small subunit ribosomal RNA", at positions 28 to 420 of the family's 1533-position model. The record is from RNAcentral.